GCCUUCGUGGUGUAGUGGUCAGCACGCUCGGCGGCUAUGCGAGAGGUCCGUGGUUCGAGUCCCGGCGAGGGCA
This 73-nucleotide transfer RNA is filed under the name Stegodyphus dumicola. RNAcentral's name for it is "tRNA-Ser". It matches the Rfam family "tRNA". Rfam says of the family: Transfer RNA (tRNA) molecules are approximately 80 nucleotides in length. Their secondary structure includes four short double-helical elements and three loops (D, anti-codon, and T loops). The record is from RNAcentral. Lineage: Eukaryota; Metazoa; Arthropoda; Arachnida; Araneae; Eresidae.